RNAcentral lists this ribosomal RNA (727 nucleotides) under Brachybacterium squillarum. Its description in RNAcentral is "bacterial SSU rRNA". It matches the Rfam family "Bacterial small subunit ribosomal RNA", at positions 108 to 848 of the family's 1533-position model. Lineage: Bacteria; Bacillati; Actinomycetota; Actinomycetes; Micrococcales; Dermabacteraceae. The record is from RNAcentral.
GAGUAACACGUGAGUAACCUGCCCCCCUCUUCGGGAUAACCUCGGGAAAUCGGGGCUAAUACCGGAUAUGACUUCGCACCGCAUGGUGUGUUGUGGAAAGUUUUUCGGUGGGGGAUGGACUCGCGGCCUAUCAGUUUGUUGGUGAGGUAAUGGCUCACCAAGGCGAUGACGGGUAGCCGGCCUGAGAGGGCGACCGGCCACACUGGGACUGAGACACGGCCCAGACUCCUACGGGAGGCAGCAGUGGGGAAUAUUGCACAAUGGGCGGAAGCCUGAUGCAGCGACGCCGCGUGGGGGAUGACGGCCUUCGGGUUGUAAACCUCUUUCAGCAGGGAAGAAGCGAGAGUGACGGUACCUGCAGAAGAAGCGCCGGCUAACUACGUGCCAGCAGCCGCGGUAAUACGUAGGGCGCAAGCGUUGUCCGGAAUUAUUGGGCGUAAAGAGCUUGUAGGUGGCUUGUCGCGUCUGCCGUGAAAACCCGAGGCUCAACCUCGGGCGUGCGGUGGGUACGGGCAGGCUAGAGUGUGGUAGGGGAGACUGGAACUCCUGGUGUAGCGGUGAUAUGCGCAGAUAUCAGGAAGAACACCGAUGGCGAAGGCAGGUCUCUGGGCCAUUACUGACACUGAGAAGCGAAAGCAUGGGGAGCGAACAGGAUUAGAUACCCUGGUAGUCCAUGCCGUAAACGUUGGGCACUAGGUGUGGGGAACAUUCCACGUUUUCCGCGCCG